GAGGGUAUAGCUCAAGUGGUACAGUGAAUGCUUAUCAUGCAUGAGGCUCUGGGUUCAAUCCCCAGAACCUCCU
RNAcentral lists this transfer RNA (73 nucleotides) under Camelus bactrianus (Bactrian camel). It matches the Rfam family "tRNA". Rfam says of the family: Transfer RNA (tRNA) molecules are approximately 80 nucleotides in length. The record is from Rfam by way of RNAcentral. Lineage: Eukaryota; Metazoa; Chordata; Mammalia; Artiodactyla; Camelidae. RNAcentral also lists the same sequence under 1 other name.